AGUGAACGCUGGCGGCAGGCCUAAUACAUGCAAGUCGAACGGCAGCACAGCAGAGCUUGCUCUGUGGGUGGCGAGUGGCGGACGGGUGAGGAAUACGUGGGAAUCUGCCCAGUCGUGGGGGAUAACGUAGGGAAACUUACGCUAAUACCGCAUGCGCCCUUCGGGGGAAAGCCGGGGACCUUCGGGCCUGGCGCGAUUGGAUGAGCCCACGUCGGAUUAGCUAGUUGGCGGGGUAAAGGCCCACCAAGGCGACGAUCCGUAGCUGGUCUGAGAGGAUGAUCAGCCACACUGGAACUGAGACACGGUCCAGACUCCUACGGGAGGCAGCAGUAGGGAAUAUUGGACAAUGGGCGCAAGCCUGAUCCAGCCAUGCCGCGUGAGUGAAGAAGGCCCUCGGGUUGUAAAGCUCUUUGUCCGGAAAGAAAAGCGCCGGGUUAAUACCCUGGUGUCCUGACGGUACCGGAAGAAUAAGCACCGGCUAACUUCGUGCCAGCAG
This 496-nucleotide ribosomal RNA is filed under the name uncultured bacterium. Its description in RNAcentral is "bacterial SSU rRNA". It matches the Rfam family "Bacterial small subunit ribosomal RNA", at positions 29 to 514 of the family's 1533-position model. The record is from RNAcentral.